AAACAACCAGAAAAGAAAUGAGAGAACAUAAAAGCAAACAACAACUUUGAGCGGUGGAUC
This 60-nucleotide ribosomal RNA is filed under the name Megalophaedusa toshiyukii. Its description in RNAcentral is "partial 5.8S rRNA". The record is from RNAcentral. Lineage: Eukaryota; Metazoa; Mollusca; Gastropoda; Stylommatophora; Clausiliidae.